UAGGAGAUUUCAUACCGGCACAGGUCGGUAUGCGAAGUCCCUUUUGGGGCCUUAGCUCAGCUGGGAGAGCACCUGCUUUGCAAGCAGGGGGUCGUCGGUUCGAUCCCGACAGGCUCCACCAUAUUGAGUGAAAAGACUUCGGGUCUGUAGCUCAGGUGGUUAGAGCGCACCCCUGAUAAGGGUGAGGUCGGUAGUUCGAGUCUACCCAGACCCACCACUCUGAAUGUAGUGCACACUUAAGAAUUUAUAUGGAUCAGCGUUGAGGCUGAGACAUGUUCUUUUAUAACUUGUGACGUAGCGAGCGUUUGAGAUAUCUAUCUAAACGUGUCGUUGAGGCUAAGGCGGGGACUUCGAGUCCCUAAAUAAUUGAGUCGUAUGUUCGCGUUGGUGGCUUUGUACUCCACACAGCACGGCAAAGGC
RNAcentral lists this transfer RNA (420 nucleotides) under Xanthomonas oryzae pv. oryzae. Its description in RNAcentral is "partial 16S-23S ribosomal RNA intergenic spacer". The stretch from base 141 to 214 matches the Rfam family "tRNA". Lineage: Bacteria; Pseudomonadati; Pseudomonadota; Gammaproteobacteria; Lysobacterales; Lysobacteraceae. The record is from RNAcentral.